UACGGGAGGCAGCAGUGAGGAAUAUUGGUCAAUGGGCGAGAGCCUGAACCAGCCAAGUCGCGUGAAGGAAGAAGGAUCUAUGGUUCGUAAACUUCUUUUGCAGGGGAAUAAAGUGCAGGACGUGUCCUGUUUUGUAUGUACCCUAAGAAUAAGGAUCGGCUAACUCCGUGCCAGCAGCCGCGGUAAUACGGAGGAUCCGAGCGUUAUCCGGAUUUAUUGGGUUUAAAGGGUGCGUAGGUGGUUUAAUAAGUCAGCGGUGAAAGAUUGCAGCUUAACUGUAAAAAUGCCGUUGAAACUGUUGAACUUGAGUGUAAAUGAGGUAGGCGGAAUGCGUGGUGUAGCGGUGAAAUGCUUAGAUAUCACGCAGAACACCGAUUGCGAAGGCAGCUUACCAGGCUACAACUGACACUGAAGCACGAAAGCGUGGGGAUCAAACAGGAUUAGAUACCCUGGUAGUCCACGCCGUAAACGAUGAUUACUAGCUGUUUGCGAUACACAGUAAGCGGCACAGCGAAAGCGUUAAGUAAUCCACCUGGGGAGUACGCCGGCAACGGUGAAACUCAAAGGAAUUGACGG
This 576-nucleotide ribosomal RNA is filed under the name uncultured bacterium. Its description in RNAcentral is "bacterial SSU rRNA". It matches the Rfam family "Bacterial small subunit ribosomal RNA", at positions 340 to 916 of the family's 1533-position model. The record is from RNAcentral.